AGCAUGUAGCAGAUACAGAGCAGGUCCUGGUGGGGCAGUCACUGCUAUUGUGUGUGGAGAUCUCUCAGAGCAGCAGCCCCCGAUCAUGUGACUCCUCCUCCUCGAUGUGACUGAUCACAUGACGGUGACAUCAUCGCAGGUCCUGUAAGCACACGGCUUCUCUACAGAUACAGGUUUCUCCAAUCCAGGAUCCUCUGCUGAUAUCUUCUAUAUAAGAGAAUUCUCCUGGAUGACCCAUCAACCAUGGAGAGAGACAGGAACAAGAUGGCCGACAGGAUCAUAAACCUCACCCUACAGAUACUCAUCCGGCUUACUGGAGAGGUUCCUAUAAGGUGUCAGGACGUGGCGGUCUAUUUCUCCAUGGAGGAGUGGGAGUAUGUAGAAGGACACAAGGAUCAGUACAAGGAUCAGGUCAUGAUGGAGGAUCAGCAGCCCCUCACAUCACCAGGUAAUAGACCUGACUAUAUACACACGUCCUCUCAUUAUUUGUAUGUAAAGAAUGAAUUCAGUCUCUGUAUGUGUUCCCUACAGUCAGAUCCAGUA
Hyla sarda is the source of this 543-nucleotide long non-coding RNA. RefSeq lists it as uncharacterized. The transcript is spliced from 3 exons. NCBI's taxonomy places the organism in Eukaryota, Metazoa, Chordata, Amphibia, Anura, Hylidae. The record is from RefSeq and is a predicted model, not a curated record.